Molecule: ribosomal RNA, 1805 nt
Filed under: Pseudomonas aeruginosa
Lineage: Bacteria; Pseudomonadati; Pseudomonadota; Gammaproteobacteria; Pseudomonadales; Pseudomonadaceae
Description: bacterial LSU rRNA
Rfam family: Bacterial large subunit ribosomal RNA
Source: RNAcentral
AAUAGCUCACUAGUCGAGUCGGCCUGCGCGGAAGAUGUAACGGGGCUCAAACCACACACCGAAGCUGCGGGUGUCACGUAAGUGACGCGGUAGAGGAGCGUUCUGUAAGCCUGUGAAGGUGAGUUGAGAAGCUUGCUGGAGGUAUCAGAAGUGCGAAUGCUGACAUGAGUAACGACAAUGGGUGUGAAAAACACCCACGCCGAAAGACCAAGGGUUCCUGCGCAACGUUAAUCGACGCAGGGUUAGUCGGUUCCUAAGGCGAGGCUGAAAAGCGUAGUCGAUGGGAAACAGGUUAAUAUUCCUGUACUUCUGGUUACUGCGAUGGAGGGACGGAGAAGGCUAGGCCAGCUUGGCGUUGGUUGUCCAAGUUUAAGGUGGUAGGCUGAAAUCUUAGGUAAAUCCGGGGUUUCAAGGCCGAGAGCUGAUGACGAGUCGUCUUUUAGAUGACGAAGUGGUUGAUGCCAUGCUUCCAAGAAAAGCUUCUAAGCUUCAGGUAACCAGGAACCGUACCCCAAACCGACACAGGUGGUCGGGUAGAGAAUACCAAGGCGCUUGAGAGAACUCGGGUGAAGGAACUAGGCAAAAUGGCACCGUAACUUCGGGAGAAGGUGCGCCGGCUAGGGUGAAGGAUUUACUCCGUAAGCUCUGGCUGGUCGAAGAUACCAGGCCGCUGCGACUGUUUAUUAAAAACACAGCACUCUGCAAACACGAAAGUGGACGUAUAGGGUGUGACGCCUGCCCGGUGCCGGAAGGUUAAUUGAUGGGGUUAGCGCAAGCGAAGCUCUUGAUCGAAGCCCCGGUAAACGGCGGCCGUAACUAUAACGGUCCUAAGGUAGCGAAAUUCCUUGUCGGGUAAGUUCCGACCUGCACGAAUGGCGUAACGAUGGCGGCGCUGUCUCCACCCGAGACUCAGUGAAAUUGAAAUCGCUGUGAAGAUGCAGUGUAUCCGCGGCUAGACGGAAAGACCCCGUGAACCUUUACUGUAGCUUUGCACUGGACUUUGAGCCUGCUUGUGUAGGAUAGGUGGGAGGCUUUGAAGCGUGGACGCCAGUUCGCGUGGAGCCAUCCUUGAAAUACCACCCUGGCAUGCUUGAGGUUCUAACUCUGGUCCGUGAUCCGGAUCGAGGACAGUGUAUGGUGGGCAGUUUGACUGGGGCGGUCUCCUCCUAAAGAGUAACGGAGGAGUACGAAGGUGCGCUCAGACCGGUCGGAAAUCGGUCGCAGAGUAUAAAGGCAAAAGCGCGCUUGACUGCGAGACAGACACGUCGAGCAGGUACGAAAGUAGGUCUUAGUGAUCCGGUGGUUCUGUAUGGAAGGGCCAUCGCUCAACGGAUAAAAGGUACUCCGGGGAUAACAGGCUGAUACCGCCCAAGAGUUCAUAUCGACGGCGGUGUUUGGCACCUCGAUGUCGGCUCAUCACAUCCUGGGGCUGAAGCCGGUCCCAAGGGUAUGGCUGUUCGCCAUUUAAAGUGGUACGCGAGCUGGGUUUAGAACGUCGUGAGACAGUUCGGUCCCUAUCUGCCGUGGACGUUUGAGAUUUGAGAGGGGCUGCUCCUAGUACGAGAGGACCGGAGUGGACGAACCUCUGGUGUUCCGGUUGUCACGCCAGUGGCAUUGCCGGGUAGCUAUGUUCGGAAAAGAUAACCGCUGAAAGCAUCUAAGCGGGAAACUUGCCUCAAGAUGAGAUCUCACUGGGAACUUGAUUCCCCUGAAGGGCCGUCGAAGACUACGACGUUGAUAGGCUGGGUGUGUAAGCGUUGUGAGGCGUUGAGCUAACCAGUACUAAUUGCCCGUGAGGCUUGACC